GGAUACACUCAAGUUGCUGUAGAAUUCUUUUUGUAGCUUCAAUCUAGUUUUUAGCUGUAGAAGGAUCAGCUCCUUUUAAACCCAGAAAUUCAGUUGCACCAUAUUUACGUAAUGCUUUAAUUGGAGCUCAACGGACAGUAGGGGUAGAUGUCGUAGCAGACGUAGUUCCUACUACCCGUUGAAGCGCAUCAACUAUAGCUCUAAGUAAUUGUGAAUCAUCCCUUUCUCUAACAUUACCUCGUUCAACAUUAG
This 252-nucleotide long non-coding RNA is filed under the name Gossypium barbadense (sea-island cotton). RNAcentral describes it as "long non-coding RNA (GBAR_LNC008902)". Lineage: Eukaryota; Viridiplantae; Streptophyta; Magnoliopsida; Malvales; Malvaceae. The record is from RNAcentral.